CAGCCCUCGAGCGCGGCCAUUCGCCGCGUUCUGCCCUCUCCCCCCUUUCCUCACGCUGGUGGUGGCCCUUUCCUCAGUCCUGCUGAUGUCCUCCAGCUGAUUCCAGGCUGUUCCCGGCCACCCCUGAGGCCGUCCUUUCGCUUCUUGAGCUGACUAAGGCUUUGGAACAGAAACCAGAUGAUGCACAUAUAUUAUCGUCAAAGAGCUUAUUGUCACAUUCUUCUUGGGAAUUACUGUGUUGCUGUUGCUG
RNAcentral lists this long non-coding RNA (250 nucleotides) under Homo sapiens (human). RNAcentral describes it as "non-protein coding lnc-BAG1-2:7". The record is from RNAcentral. Lineage: Eukaryota; Metazoa; Chordata; Mammalia; Primates; Hominidae.